Molecule: ribosomal RNA, 175 nt
Filed under: uncultured bacterium
Lineage: Bacteria
Description: partial 16S rRNA
Rfam family: Bacterial small subunit ribosomal RNA
Source: RNAcentral
CCUACGGGAGGCAGCAGUGNGGAAUAUUGCACAAUGGACGCAAGCCUGAUGCAGCGACGCCGCGUGAGGGAUGACGGCCUUCGGGUUGUAAACCUCUUUCAGUAGGGAAGAAGCUGGAAGUGACCGUACCUGCAAAAGAAGCGCCNGCUAACUACGUGCCAGCAGCCGCGGUAAU